Long non-coding RNA from Etheostoma spectabile (orangethroat darter), 494 nucleotides. RefSeq lists it as uncharacterized. The transcript has 3 exons. The record is from RefSeq and is a predicted model, not a curated record. NCBI's taxonomy places the organism in Eukaryota, Metazoa, Chordata, Actinopteri, Perciformes, Percidae.
GUGUCUGCCACUCCCGCCAUGAUUCAGACUGUCCCACUGUCUGAAAGCCUGAGAUUAAUAGUACCGGUCCAACUGACUGAUCAGCGGGGGUGUGAGCGUGGAGGGCCAGGUUGUCAGUGAGGGGGGGUCCUUUGAGCUGGGACUUGCUGUUCUAAUGUCAACUCACUACAACUUUAACCUGCAAUACCAGGACCAGGCUGCAUGCUCGUUGGAGUUCAUUCAGAGGAUCUGCAUGGGGACUAAUCCUGAGAGAGGAUCAAAGGCACCCAGCAGAAAAACUGGAAAGAUGGUCCAGAAGAAACCUUCAACAGUGAACCCGCAUGUCUGCACCCUGAUCAGGAAGCUCAACGACUUCAAGUGGGACUUUGUUUGAGUUUCUCUUGUAUUGUUUUGUUUAGCUGCAGAUAUCACUUGUCAUUCAUCAAUUAACAAUAUCUGCUAGUUUUUGUGUUGUUUAGUUCAGUUCUUGCGGCUGUAUGUAGUGUUUUGCCCCA